CUACAUUAAUAAAAUCAUCAAGAUUUAAGCCACCAUUUUGAACAUAGUGUAAAUUUAUCAUAUCAAAUAUAUAAAAGAUACAUAUAAAUCAACAUCUAUGCAUUGUGCCAAAAGCAAUUUGGCUCGGCAAAAGAAUAUGUGUUUGCUGUGUCCCACACUUGGGUAACAUAGUUGGGCUUGUGGAAGCCCAUAUUUUGGAGCCUGAAGCUGGGGUUUGACAGUGCCAAGAGUUUAGUGAACAAGAUCAUACAUAUCAAGUCGUUGUAUUUAUUGAUAUUUGAUGUGAUGAUAGAUGGAAUGCACUCAAGUUCUAACACGUAGAUCUAAAUAUUCGUCAAUCGUGAUCGUGAUCGCCUUUUGCCUGAAACAAUAAGGCUCAUGGGGUAGUAAAUUCUAGUAAAGGAAGAAACCAUAUAACAGUCGACAACAG
This 430-nucleotide small RNA is filed under the name Histoplasma capsulatum var. duboisii H88. Its description in RNAcentral is "Histoplasma capsulatum H88 hypothetical RNA". Lineage: Eukaryota; Fungi; Ascomycota; Eurotiomycetes; Onygenales; Ajellomycetaceae. The record is from RNAcentral.